This 356-nucleotide transfer-messenger RNA is filed under the name Candidatus Hinthialibacteria bacterium OLB16. RNAcentral's name for it is "Omnitrophica bacterium OLB16 transfer-messenger RNA, SsrA". It matches the Rfam family "transfer-messenger RNA". Rfam says of the family: Bacterial tmRNA, also known as 10Sa RNA or SsrA, is named for its dual tRNA and mRNA-like properties. Its role is to liberate the mRNA from a stalled ribosome. The record is from RNAcentral. RNAcentral also lists the same sequence under 4 other names. Lineage: Bacteria; Candidatus Hinthialibacterota.
GGGGGCGAUUUGGCUUCGACGGGUUUGAAGCAGGUCCCUGGAAGCAGGCCGUACGGUCCGCCGGUACGUUACCACAGGUGGAAACAACACAACUGCCGAUUACGAUCUGGCUUUGGCAGCCUGACAUCAGGUUGCCGGUCUCCCAAUCAUGGGUCGCUUGGUGAAUGGAUGAGGCCUCAAACACAAGUGAAUAGUCGGAUGAUAUGCUCGUGGUCCUCCGAUGAAACAAUAAUGAGCCCGCUUGAUGGCUGCCUGUCCGGUGGUUGUCAUCAAGCCAGAACCAAACCGGAAUAAGCCUGUAGAAACCUUGGAUGAGCCAGAUUCGGACGGGGGUUCGAGUCCCCCCGCCUCCACCA